GACGAACGCUGGCGGCGUGCCUAAUACAUGCAAGUCGAGCGAACAGAUAAGGAGCUUGCUCCUUUGACGUUAGCGGCGGACGGGUGAGUAACACGUGGGCAACCUGCCCUAUAGUUGGGGAUAACUCCGGGAAACCGGGGCUAAUACCGAAUAAUCCAUUUCAUCUCCUGAUGGAAUGUUGAAAGAUGGCAUCUAGCUAUCGCUAUAGGAUGGGCCCGCGGCGCAUUAGCUAGUUGGUGAGGUAACGGCUCACCAAGGCGACGAUGCGUAGCCGACCUGAGAGGGUGAUCGGCCACACUGGGACUGAGACACGGCCCAGACUCCUACGGGAGGCAGCAGUAGGGAAUCUUCCACAAUGGGCGAAAGCCUGAUGGAGCAACGCCGCGUGAGUGAAGAAGGUUUUCGGAUCGUAAAACUCUGUUGUAAGGGAAGAACAAGUACAGUAGUAACUGGCUGUACCUUGACGGUACCUUAUUAGAAAGCCACGGCUAACUAC
RNAcentral lists this ribosomal RNA (496 nucleotides) under uncultured Bacillota bacterium. RNAcentral's name for it is "bacterial SSU rRNA". It matches the Rfam family "Bacterial small subunit ribosomal RNA", at positions 28 to 504 of the family's 1533-position model. Lineage: Bacteria; Bacillati; Bacillota. The record is from RNAcentral.